This 1089-nucleotide long non-coding RNA is filed under the name Vulpes vulpes (red fox). RNAcentral's name for it is "lncRNA (ENSVVUG00000019394.1)". Lineage: Eukaryota; Metazoa; Chordata; Mammalia; Carnivora; Canidae. The record is from RNAcentral.
CAAGACUCCGGGGCCUUUGGGUAGUGAGAGAACCAAGUUAGAAAACACAUUCUUGUAACUUUAAAAAUAAAUUCUUGUCUGCCAACUAGAAACAGCCUCCUAAUGUGCCACAUCCCACAUGCAUUUGGUUUUAAUUUGUUUGCUUUUUCUCAGUGAUUGCUCUUUAAUUAUUGCAAUGUUGAAACAACUUGCUCUGUCUCCAAAAAUACGCUACAGUAGGUGGGGAAAAGAUGAGGGGUAAAGAAUAGGCAGCCUGGAAGGCUGGGGAAGCAGCUGUCCAGAGAACGUUCUCAUACUCAGGGGAGGGGGUUGGUGUUCAGGGCUUUCAUCCCCAUGCAGUACCUCCCGAAGGACAGGAUGGCAAUCCAAAGGCGAGUUGCUGGCAGUCAAUGUAUCAUCUUUUGGAGAAUUAUGAAAUCAUUUUUAUGAAGCUAUGAUGCAUUAAUCUGAAAUAAGUUAAACUGGUUGGACUAUGUCAGCAGCAGCAGGAAGAUACAAAUUCUACUUUAUCCAAAAAUCAAAUAAUGACGUCUCUAAUCCUUGCCUCCCCUCUUCCAUACUACUCUCCUGAGAUGAAAUGGUGAACCCAGGAGCUCAUGUUAAACAUUUGGGUUCUUCACUCAUGCCAUGAGGAUGUCUACUAGGGUCCAUAUACCCUCCACUAAAGUCUCCCCCUUCAUGGUCUUCAACAAUGAUGACAACUGGAGACAACAGCUGAUGAGAUGAUUGCACACCCAUCUGAGUGACUUGGUCCCGUCCGUCUUUAUUGAGAAGCUCAGCCUACCAAUGUCAUCUGAAGGAGCAUGAAUAGUUGUAUCAGGACUGGUGUGGCAUGGGGACCAGGCAGAUGUGGAUUUGGACCUCAGUUCUGUGCUUGCUGUGUGGCCUUCAUCUCUGACCUGGAGUUUUCUCACCUGAGGCACGUGGGGUCAAACCCCUGCUUUGUGUGGAUGGUGUGGAGGUUGGCAGUGCUAACCGUGGAGUCUCACCCGGUACGGAGGACAUCACUGGAACUCAAAAAAGGGCAGCCAAAGUUACUACUAUUUUCAUUUUUAAAAAUUAAAUAAAAUGAGAGAGUCCUAACUCUGG